AGAAGGGUCAAGUUAAGGUAAGACGGCCGGUUUGGUUCGGUUCAAUUCGGUUCACUGGUGAGGGGGAGACGGGCAGUUCGUUUUAGUUCGGUUCAUUAGUGCGGUUUGGUUCAGAAAAAUAAAGAGAAAAACGGGUUAGUUCGGUUUCUUGGUUUAGAGAAGAGUCAGGUUUUGGUUUGAAAGAAAAAGGUCAGUUUAGUUCAAAAGAGAGGAUGAAGAGGGUGUAGGAAAACUUGCCACAUGGCAAAAAUUAUUGGGAAUUCAUAUUAGUUAAUAGAU
This 279-nucleotide long non-coding RNA is filed under the name Ananas comosus (pineapple). Its description in RNAcentral is "long non-coding RNA (ACOM_LNC041494)". The record is from RNAcentral. Lineage: Eukaryota; Viridiplantae; Streptophyta; Magnoliopsida; Poales; Bromeliaceae.